UAGGGAAUCUUCCGCAAUGGGCGAAAGCCUGACGGAGCAACGCCGCGUGAGUGAAGAAGGAUUUCGGUUCGUAAAGCUCUGUUGUUAGGGAAGAAUGAUUGUGUAGUAACUAUACACAGUAGAGACGGUACCUAACCAGAAAGCCACGGCUAACUACGUGCCAGCAGCCGCGGUAAUACGUAGGUGGCAAGCGUUGUCCGGAAUUAUUGGGCGUAAAGCGCGCGCAGGUGGUUUAAUAAGUCUGAUGUGAAAGCCCACGGCUCAACCGUGGAGGGUCAUUGGAAACUGUUAAACUUGAGUGCAGGAGAGAAAAGUGGAAUUCCUAGUGUAGCGGUGAAAUGCGUAGGGAUUAGGAGGAACACCAGUGGCGAAGGCGGCUUUUUGGCCUGUAACUGACACUGAGGCGCGAAAGCGUGGGGAGCAAACAGGGUUAGAUACCCUGGUAGUCCACGCCGUAAACGAUGAGUGCUAAGUGUUGGUCUCAUAAGAGAUCAGUGCUGCAGCUAACGCAUUAAGCACUCCGCCUGGGGAGUACGACCGCAAGGUUG
RNAcentral lists this ribosomal RNA (548 nucleotides) under uncultured bacterium. RNAcentral's name for it is "bacterial SSU rRNA". It matches the Rfam family "Bacterial small subunit ribosomal RNA", at positions 355 to 896 of the family's 1533-position model. The record is from RNAcentral.